CAGCCGCCGCGGUAAUACGUAGGUGGCGAGCGUUGUCCGGAAUCAUUGGGCGUAAAGGGAGCGCAGGCGGGCAUGUAAGUCUUUCUUAAAAGUUCGGGGCUCAACCCCGUGAUGGGAAAGAAACUACAUGUCUUGAGUACAGGAGAGGAAAGCGGAAUUCCCAGUGUAGCGGUGAAAUGCGUAGAUAUUGGGAGGAGCACCAGUGGCGAAGGCGGCUUUCUGGACUGCAACUGACGCUGAGGCUCGAAAGCCAGGGGAGCGAACGGGAUUAGAUACCCGUGUAGUCCCUGUCUCUUAUACA
RNAcentral lists this ribosomal RNA (301 nucleotides) under uncultured bacterium. Its description in RNAcentral is "partial 16S ribosomal RNA". It matches the Rfam family "Bacterial small subunit ribosomal RNA", at positions 509 to 809 of the family's 1533-position model. The record is from RNAcentral.